UCUCCGUAGGUGAACCUGCGGAGGGAUCAUUACAGAGUUCACGCCCUCGCGGGUAGGUUUCCCACCCACUGUUAUCGUUACUGUGUUGCUUUGGCGGCCCGCCGGGCCCCGCUCGGCUGCCGGCUCCGGCUGGCGCGCCCCCGACAGAGGCCCAGCAAACUCUGAAUGUUAGUGUCGUCUGAGUACUAUAUAAUAGUUAAAACUUUCAACAACGGAUCUCUUGGUUCUG
RNAcentral lists this unclassified non-coding RNA (229 nucleotides) under plant metagenome. RNAcentral describes it as "partial contains small subunit ribosomal RNA, internal transcribed spacer 1, and 5.8S ribosomal RNA". The record is from RNAcentral.